RNAcentral lists this ribosomal RNA (504 nucleotides) under uncultured bacterium. RNAcentral describes it as "partial 16S ribosomal RNA". It matches the Rfam family "Bacterial small subunit ribosomal RNA", at positions 30 to 523 of the family's 1533-position model. The record is from RNAcentral.
AUUGAACGCUGGCGGCAGGCCUAACACAUGCAAGUCGAGCGGUAGUACAGAGAGCUUGCUCUCGGGUGACGAGCGGCGGACGGGUGAGUAAUGUCUGGGAAACUGCCUGAUGGAGGGGGAUAACUACUGGAAACGGUAGCUAAUACCGCAUAACGUCGCAAGACCAAAGAGGGGGACCUUCGGGCCUCUUGCCAUCAGAUGUGCCCAGAUGGGAUUAGCUAGUAGGUGGGGUAACGGCUCACCUAGGCGACGAUCCCUAGCUGGUCUGAGAGGAUGACCAGCCACACUGGAACUGAGACACGGUCCAGACUCCUACGGGAGGCAGCAGUGGGGAAUAUUGCACAAUGGGCGCAAGCCUGAUGCAGCCAUGCCGCGUGUAUGAAGAAGGCCUUCGGGUUGUAAAGUACUUUCAGCGGGGAGGAAGGUGUUGAGGUUAAUAACCUCAGCAAUUGACGUUACCCGCAGAAGAAGCACCGGCUAACUCCGUGCCAGCCGCCGCAGUAA